GCGACGGUUAGGGGGGCCCGACGUUUAUAAUAUUAUAGAUGUCAGGCCCCCUCCUAACCAACGUCUAUAUGGUCACUUAUUUAUGAAAAUGCCACCGGUCAAUAAUUUACGUUGGAUAUUUUUUGGUCCAACGUCUAAGGGGUGACGUUAAAGGCCAAUUAUGCACUAGUGUAGGAAUAAUUAAUGUUGGGUGGGGUUCCUGCUGCACAAGCUUGAAUGAAAGAUUGAAGAACAAGGUCUAUUUGAGUGGCUUUCUGAAUUUUUAUCAUCAAUUCAUUCUCUCUAAAUGACCAUGCCAUAAAGAAGGAUCUGGAUAGGGCAUUCGCAGCUUGGUUAUCCUUCCC
Molecule: long non-coding RNA, 344 nt
Filed under: Vigna radiata
Lineage: Eukaryota; Viridiplantae; Streptophyta; Magnoliopsida; Fabales; Fabaceae
Description: long non-coding RNA (VRAD_LNC010237)
Source: RNAcentral